UUCAUUUCAAGGCGCUCUGACAUUCGCAGGCUUAGGUUUAUUUCGUCCUGUACUGUUAAGCGAUAAAUUCACUGCCUCAAAAACAAAACUAAAUGUGCAUAGUACACGAAUUCCCUGUUUUUAGUGAUUCGGGGCGAUUCAAAUCUGACUGAUGAAAGCAUUCGUAAUAAUCUUUAAUACGUACACAUUGCCACAAAGCCGGCAGCUGCAUCCAUCCACCGCUAACUGACAAACUUUACGACCAAUUUACUAUGCUCUUCCCCAUAUAGAAAUACAAUGUGUCCGUGUACGUGUACUAUGUAUCAUAAGUUCGCCAAAAACUUGCUAACAAUGCGUAGAAACUCAGGGAGAAAGGGGUGGGGAGGAUUGUGAGGAAAA
Molecule: long non-coding RNA, 378 nt
Organism: Drosophila obscura
Lineage: Eukaryota; Metazoa; Arthropoda; Insecta; Diptera; Drosophilidae
Exons: 3
Source: RefSeq, a predicted model, not a curated record